RNAcentral lists this ribosomal RNA (497 nucleotides) under uncultured bacterium. RNAcentral's name for it is "partial 16S ribosomal RNA". It matches the Rfam family "Bacterial small subunit ribosomal RNA", at positions 28 to 507 of the family's 1533-position model. The record is from RNAcentral.
GAUGAACGCUGGCGGCGUGCCUAAUACAUGCAAGUCGAGCGAGCAGACGAGGAGCUUGCUCCUCUGACGUUAGCGGCGGACGGGUGAGUAACACGUGGAUAACCUACCUAUAAGACUGGGAUAACUUCGGGAAACCGGAGCUAGUACCGGAUAAUAUAUUGAACCGCAUGGUUCAAUAGUGAAAGACGGUUUUGCUGUCACUUAUAGAUGGAUCCGCGCCGCAUUAGCUAGUUGGUAAGGUAACGGCUUACCAAGGCGACGAUGCGUAGCCGACCUGAGAGGGUGGUCGGCCACACUGGAACUGAGACACGGUCCAGACUCCUACGGGAGGCAGCAGUAGGGAAUCUUCCGCAAUGGGCGAAAGCCUGACGGAGCAACGCCGCGUGAGUGAUGAAGGUCUUCGGAUCGUAAAACUCUGUUAUUAGGGAAGAACAAAUGUGUAAGUAACUAUGCACGUCUUGACGGUACCUAAUCAGAAAGCCACGGCUAACUACGUG